Molecule: ribosomal RNA, 449 nt
Filed under: uncultured bacterium
Lineage: Bacteria
Description: partial 16S ribosomal RNA
Rfam family: Bacterial small subunit ribosomal RNA
Source: RNAcentral
GAUGAACGCUGGCGGCACGCCUAACACAUGCAAGUCGAACGAAGUCUUCGGACUUAGUGGCGGACGGGUGAGUAACACGUGGGAACGUGCCUUUAGGUUCGGAAUAACUCAGGGAAACUUGUGCUAAUACCGAAUGUGCCCUUCGGGGGAAAGAUUUAUCGCCUUUAGAGCGGCCCGCGUCUGAUUAGCUAGUUGGUGGGGUAACGGCCCACCAAGGCUACGAUCAGUAGCUGGUCUGAGAGGAUGACCAGCCACAUUGGGACUGAGACACGGCCCAAACUCCUACGGGAGGCAGCAGUGGGGAAUCUUGCGCAAUGGGCGAAAGCCUGACGCAGCCAUGCCGCGUGGAUGAUGAAGGUCUUAGGAUUGUAAAAUCCUUUCACCGGUGAAGAUAAUGACUGUAGCCGGAGAAGAAGCCCCGGCUAACUUCGUGCCAGCAGCCGCCGUAA